This is a small nucleolar RNA of Fulmarus glacialis (Northern fulmar), 72 nucleotides long. It matches the Rfam family "Small nucleolar RNA SNORD58". From Rfam's summary of the family: snoRNA U58 is found in introns 1, 3 and 6 of the ribosomal protein RPL17 gene in humans. U58 is a member of the C/D class of snoRNA which contain C (UGAUGA) and D (CUGA) box motifs. NCBI's taxonomy places the organism in Eukaryota, Metazoa, Chordata, Aves, Procellariiformes, Procellariidae. The record is from Rfam.
UUGCUGUGAUGACUGUCUUAGGACACCUUUGGAAUACCCAUGAAAAAAAAUCAGAAGUUAUUUCUGAGCAAC